UAGAGAGUGUGGGCAAAUCUCUCCUCUCUCUCUCCUCCCUUCUCUUUCUCUCUCUCCUCCCAGCGCCUCCAUGGCUGCAGUUUUCAUUUCAUAUAUGUGAGUGAGAGUAAUAUAUCCACUAUCGGAGAAGCAGAAACGGAAGAAGAAGAAGAAGAAGAAGUGUUUGAGGGGGAUGUUGGCUGGCUCGAAGCAAUCACAGUUUGCUGUUAACAGUGAGAAUGUGAAGGCAUCGGACCAGGCUUCAUUCCUCUCAAAACAUUUACUCAUCAUAUACAAAUCCAUCUGCUUCUCCGUUUUCCUUUUCUGUGUAUCUAUAUAACACUCUCUCUUCUGUGUCUGUACGAUUAGGGUUCGUGGUGAAUUUUCAAUUCUGUGGACUCUCUGUCCAGUGGAUGAUGUAUCUAAUUAUGUACUCAUCAUUAGAUACAAACUGACCUAAAGAUGUCGUUUUUGCUUUGAAUUAAACCAUUUUUCUUGUGGAUUGAAACAUGAAAUUCAGUGUAUAAACAGUUCCAGGCAUCUAGGGUUAAGAAACCCUAUUACUCUAUUAUAUUUCCCGUUGACUGUUUUUUUCACCAAUUUUUUUCACUUUAAUGUUAACUAAUUAAACUGCUUCACACACACACACACACACUCUCUCUCUCUCUCUCUCUCAAAAAACGACGCCCAUUAAACACGGAAACACAGUCAAAUGCAGUAAGUUGAAGCGCAAAACAAGCUCUUUUUCAGACAACCUUGCUGCUGGCUUUUUUUAAAAAAAAUUAAAUUCAAUUAUAUAAUUAAUUUUUUUCGUUGCGAAGAUGCCCUUGUUCUUAAUGCUAAUCUAUUGGGAUGAAUUUCUCUAAACAAUCGUAAACUUCGACUAAAGAAAUUUGGUGAUUUUUCCACAAUCUCAUGAGAAAAUGUAAUGAAUUCGAAGAUUUGGAGUUACGAAAAUGUAGGAAGUCGGUGAAGUAAUUAAGGCACCGCCCUCUUGUGCCAGCAACGUUUAAAAUUUCAAUUUUAUGAACAUGUCACAUUAAUUUUUUACAUGAUGCAUCUUCUCUAAACAAUCUUAAAAUUUGACCGGAGAAAUUCGGUGAUUUUUCCACAAUAUCACAUGAAAAUUAUAAUGAAUUCAAGGAUUUGGAGUUACGAGGAUAUAGGUGGGCAAUGAAGUAAUUAAGGCACUGCCCUCUUGUGCCAGCAUCGUUUGGAAUUUCAAUUUUAUGAACAUGUCACAUUUUUUAUAUGAUAGCAGUUGAGUAAUUCAUUUGAAUCAAAGGGCUCACUAUCACCUAACCAUAUAUAGCAUUAUUCUUGGCAAAAAUGUCAUUUGGAUGAUGGAGCAUUGAUGAUUGGCGAUGAAAUUGUGACUUGCUUUAAUGGUUGUGAUAUUAAUGAAUAGCAUUUAUGUCUUUUUACUACCUUCAAAUGCGAACAUUUUUAUAUAUUUAUGAUUUGUUGGGUUUGAGGUAUGGAAACGUAACCGAUGAAUGUAAUUGUAAUGGCAGAUAUGACAGCAUUUAAUUUACACACUGAGAUCUGAUGAAAUGUUGAGAGCAUUGAUUUAAUGGAGAAAGAUUCCUUCC
Olea europaea var. sylvestris is the source of this 1571-nucleotide long non-coding RNA. RefSeq lists it as uncharacterized. The record is from RefSeq and is a predicted model, not a curated record. The transcript has 2 exons. Lineage: Eukaryota; Viridiplantae; Streptophyta; Magnoliopsida; Lamiales; Oleaceae.